Molecule: transfer RNA, 76 nt
Filed under: Halothermothrix orenii H 168
Lineage: Bacteria; Bacillati; Bacillota; Clostridia; Halanaerobiales; Halothermotrichaceae
Description: tRNA-Gly (CCC) (tRNA-Gly-CCC-1-1)
Rfam family: tRNA
About the family: Transfer RNA (tRNA) molecules are approximately 80 nucleotides in length. Their secondary structure includes four short double-helical elements and three loops (D, anti-codon, and T loops). Further hydrogen bonds mediate the characteristic L-shaped molecular structure. tRNAs have two regions of fundamental functional importance: the anti-codon, which is responsible for specific mRNA codon recognition, and the 3' end, to which the tRNAs corresponding amino acid is attached (by aminoacyl-tRNA synthetases). tRNAs cope with the degeneracy of the genetic code in two manners: having more than one tRNA (with a specific anti-codon) for a particular amino acid; and 'wobble' base-pairing, i.e. permitting non-standard base-pairing at the 3rd anti-codon position.
Source: RNAcentral
GCGGACAUAGCUCAAUUGGUAGAGCGUUGGCUUCCCAAGCCAAAGGUCGCGGGUUCGAUCCCCGUUGUCCGCUCCA